CUCCCUGUGGCUCAGUUGGUAGAGCAUGGUGUUUGCAACGCCAGCAUGGUGUGUACAACGCCAGGGUUGUGGGUUCGAUUCCCACAGGGGGC
This 92-nucleotide transfer RNA is filed under the name Salmo salar (Atlantic salmon). It matches the Rfam family "tRNA". From Rfam's summary of the family: Transfer RNA (tRNA) molecules are approximately 80 nucleotides in length. Their secondary structure includes four short double-helical elements and three loops (D, anti-codon, and T loops). The record is from Rfam by way of RNAcentral. Lineage: Eukaryota; Metazoa; Chordata; Actinopteri; Salmoniformes; Salmonidae.